Non-coding RNA from Chrysemys picta bellii (western painted turtle), 2087 nucleotides. NCBI's taxonomy places the organism in Eukaryota, Metazoa, Chordata, Testudines, Emydidae. The record is from RefSeq and is a predicted model, not a curated record.
AGCGGACGGAUCGGUGAAUUACCGUCCUGCCCGAGAACAAAAAGCUAGGGAGGUGCAGCUUUGCAAAGCUGGGCUCCAUUGAGCCCUCCUGAUGAAUGAGAGGCGGCUGCAUGCCGGAUCCCCACUAGAGGGAGCACAGAGUUGGUCGGCCAGAGGAGCUGCCGUGUGCCGUGGGAGAGACGCUGGGAGCUGUCUGGGUAGGAACAGCCAGGACUUUCCCCACAACAAGAAGCGCUCGGCGGUGUUCGAACCAGCCGGGAGGGCUGCCCGCUUGCCCAGUCUUGCCGGGCACGGCGCGCAGCUGUUGCGAGAGGCGGUCCGGGGAAGCGCAGGGAGGGGGGCAGAGGAACGCGUGCGCUUGCCCGUCGUUGUGUAACGCUAACCGGGAGCCGCCGCUAGUGAACAAGCUGCACUGCAGGCACCUUGCCAGUCAAUCCCAGGCUGCGCAGGUAGCACCAUUAGAAACUAUGGUGAGAGUUCACAGUCUCAAUCAAGAGACAACAGUCUACACAUCAUGAAACCUACACAUUUUGGUAGGUUAUUACCAUCUUCAUAUUUCACAUGUUGUAAAAUCACUCAGUGCCGACAUUUUAGAAGAGAAUUUUGUCAUCCUGUCAAAAUGAAUUACAAUAGAAUUUGUUAAUACCAAAUGAAAAAUAACAUUAAAAAUUAAGAGUCAAAAUUUACAGCCUACUAGUAAUUUUCCAUUCUCAAGAGGAGAGCUCAGUUUUAUCCAAAACAACUCAAUCUUUCCUCUUAUCGCUAAUGUACAUAGCAUGAUUGAUAUUACAUUUCAUUAUGUAAACAUUACUUUAAUACUUCUCAUUACUUUUGCUCAAGUAACCCUGAAUAACUGUAGUAUCUGGCACAGGACGCUAUUGCUAUGGCAUUGUUUCAAAGCUAGUGGCUUUGUGUUGCACAAGAUGGAGCUCUCAAAGUCAUAGCAAAGACUCAGUUUUAAAAUUUUCUUUAGAAAAAAAUUACCUCAAUGAUCUGUAAAUCUUCAUAGCUCUUAUCCUGCAUUAAGAUCCGCUAACCUGGACCCAUGCAGGGUCCCAUUAACAUCAGUGGAGGUUGCACAGGUUCAGGAGACUGUGCCAGUGGUUUCUGAUGCAGGAUCAGGACCUUACCCUAAGAGGGUCCGUUCCAAAGCCCAUUGAAGGCAAUGGGAAUCUUUCCAUUAACGUCAGUGGUUUUAGGGUUACCCCCUACAAGCAGAAAGCUGCAGGGAAGUGUUUUAAGUUCCAUCCUCUGAAAGUACCAAUAACAUGACAAACUUUAAAAAAAAAUUGUUUGAUUGUAGGGAUUGGCCAGGGGAGAAGCAGGAAAAGAGGAAGGAAAUAAGAGUCCCUCUCUAAUUAUGCUUCUAUAAAUGUCCUUGAAUUCUUUGAUAAUGUGGUCUGCGGAAUUUCUUUCAAAACCAGAAUAGUCAAAUGUGGAGCCUGCUCUUCCAGUUAAAGCAGGCUAUUUACAUUCACCAUGCUGGGCUGGGCAGAUUUUCAAGAAAGGUUAGCUUUGUGUGUAUUCCCAUAUGGGGCCAAAGCACACCAUUUGUUUUGUUGCGGUGGCUAAGCAAAUAACUAAAGCUGUCUUGACUUCUAGGUACUGAAACCACUAAGUAACCCUUAAUUUGACUGCACUAUGUCUAGUAAACACCAUUAUAUUACAAACUCUUCACACCUGCUGAGUAGCGCCGGAUUAACCCAUCACUGGGACCCAGGCAAAACCCCAUUGUCCACCCCCCAGCGCUCCCUGCCACCCCUCUCCCAGCCAACUCUCCCCUGCAGCUGUCUCUGAGCAAGUCCUGUGGGCAGAGCAGAAAGGACGCGGCUGCUGGAAGCAGGCCCCGCGAGCAGAGGUGCCGACUUCCCAAGUUCCUGGGGUGUGCUUGACCCCCGCUCCGCCCCAGGCCCUGCCCCAACUCCACCCUUUCCCCCCAGCCCCACCCACAUUCUGUCUCUUCCUGCCCCUGCUCCGCACCACCUCUUCCCACGCACAUCCCUGUGCUGCCCUUUUCCACCCCUCGCCCACAUCUUCCUGCCCCUCUCCUCCCCCUCCUCCACAGUGCGCCCUGCACACUGCUGAAC